Molecule: ribosomal RNA, 497 nt
Filed under: uncultured bacterium
Lineage: Bacteria
Description: partial 16S ribosomal RNA
Rfam family: Bacterial small subunit ribosomal RNA
Source: RNAcentral
GAUGAACGCUGGCGGCGUGCCUAAUACAUGCAAGUCGAGCGAACAGACGAGGAGCUUGCUCCUCGGACGUUAGCGGCGGACGGGUGAGUAACACGUUGAUAACCUACCUAUAAGACUGGGAUAACUUCGGGAAACCGGAGCUAAUACCGGAUAAUAUAUUGAACCGCAUGGUUCAAUAGUGAAAGACGGUUUUGCUGUCACUUAUAGAUGGAUCCGCGCCGCAUUAGCUAGUUGGUAAGGUAACGGCUUACCAAGGCAACGAUGCGUAGCCGACCUGAGAGGGUGAGCGGCCACACUGGAAGUGAGACACGGUCCAGACUCCUACGGGAGGCAGCAGUAGGGAAUCUUCCGCAAUGGGCGAAAGCCUGACGGAGCAACGCCGCGUGAGUGAUGAAGGUCUUCGGAUCGUAAAACUCUGUUAUUAGGGAAGAACAAAUGUGUAAGUAACUAUGCACGUCUUGACGGUACCUAAUCAGAAAGCCACGGCUAACUACGUG